This 804-nucleotide long non-coding RNA is filed under the name Homo sapiens (human). RNAcentral describes it as "long intergenic non-protein coding RNA 2293". The record is from RNAcentral. Lineage: Eukaryota; Metazoa; Chordata; Mammalia; Primates; Hominidae.
GACUCCUGUUAGUUUCUGCUACCACUUAAGUGUUAAUAGCUAAUAAUAGAGCAAGCUUGAUUACUACCUUGGUGUCCUAAAACGGAUGUUGGCCUGCCAGGGAGCAGCCAAGGUGAAGUUUUCAACCAGGCCGACCAACUUCAGAGUCCACUGGCUUCAAAACAGUGCUUUACAUCCUCCUUCCAACAUUAUUCACAAGCCGAUCAAGACUGAGAGAGUCACAAGUGUGUGAAACCUGUAUUCUUUCUGACUUCAUUUUCCCUGGUCCCAGAAGGCUGCAUAUGGAACUGACCUGGACUUAAUCUACAAGAUAGAUACCCCCAGCUAACCUGCAAACUCACAGAGUGAUGAGUGAGAAAAUAAUGCUUCUUCUUCUGUGCCUAUGUGAUUUAGUGAUUCUGCUAUGCAACAAAAGUUAAUGUAAUUUUUUAAAGCAGAAGCUAUUGUAAAGAAACUGAGACCAAGAAUGGUUAAGUAAAGCAUCCUAAUUCACAUGAUUAUAGAACAAAAGAACUGGGACUCAAACUAAGGCCCUCUGAUUUCAAUACACAUGUUUUUAACUGUUAUGCCAUGCUGUCUCCAAGUAAGCAUAUUAUUAAUAUUAUUAUCAGGUACAAGAACAUAUUAUGUAGAAAAUGCCAGGGUUGUUCAGUGCUUCUUUUCAACAUUUCUGUUAUUAAUAGUUUAAUUUUCUCACUGUGCUCUUUAAGCUCCCUAUCUAUAAACCUGUUUUAUAUGUGUGUGUCUGUACAUGUACAUGCAAGUAACAACGAAUAAAAUUUUGAAAUUUUAUAAAGAACAUAA